Etheostoma spectabile (orangethroat darter) is the source of this 152-nucleotide long non-coding RNA. RefSeq lists it as uncharacterized. The record is from RefSeq and is a predicted model, not a curated record. The transcript has 3 exons. NCBI's taxonomy places the organism in Eukaryota, Metazoa, Chordata, Actinopteri, Perciformes, Percidae.
GCAUGCAGUGGCAGACUCGUAACACUGUUACAUGCAACCCUGCCUCCUAAAAACAUGACGUUCCCACCCACUGAAACUGCAUACUAAAUUACGUUUUGAGGGAAAACCAAUUUACCAGCGCACAUCGUGAAACAGUCGCUGUUUUCAACAUA